AAAAAGAUAUCUAAAAAAAAAAAAAAAAAAAAAACGAAAAUUAAUAGAUAAAAUAAAAUCAGGAAGAGAAAGUAAGAUGUUUAAAGAGAUGCAAAGAGAAUUUGUUUACUUCCCGUUUUCGACUCGAAUCCACUUAAUGGUAGUUGCAGACCGCUGCCCGAUCUUCGAAACUCCGCUACUUGAUCUCAGUCUGGUGCGCACCGCCACUGAGUGAGGGUGUCAACGUUUGUUUUAUUCGAAACGACAAACCGACCUAGAGAGAUCAACAGGUAA
Long non-coding RNA from Apis dorsata (giant honeybee), 273 nucleotides. RefSeq lists it as uncharacterized. Lineage: Eukaryota; Metazoa; Arthropoda; Insecta; Hymenoptera; Apidae. The transcript is spliced from 2 exons. The record is from RefSeq and is a predicted model, not a curated record.